AGGCAGCACCGGAAGAGUUAAUGUCCCCUGACCCCGGCCCGCUCCUUCCUCCCCCGACCGUUGGCCCUGAGAACACGGGGUGGGGGUGGGGGAAUCUGAACGGCUCGCGACCCUGAGCGUGCUCCAGGAGCCGCCGUUUCCCGGCUUGCGGGAGAGUCCUUAUUGUGAGCGCGUGAGGCCCCGAUCCGGCCGCCCACGCGGAGGCACGUGCUCAGCUGAGGGGGCCCCCCUGAAAACGAUCAAAGUGAAUCCGGGCACCUGCCCUGAAGCGUUUGCAGGGUCUGGAGGAAAGACAUUCCCCGCCCCUCAGUGCUCAGUGGUGUAGGUCGUGGCCUGGAAAGGCCAACGCAGAAGAGGCCCGGAGGAGGAGGAUCACUUGGAUGUCUGUGUUUGUUUUUUAAUGCCAGCAAGAGGAUGUGACUAAUUGAAGGCCUGGCUGCUGGCUCGCCCACGUUUGGCUUCACAGAAGAACUGUGUUUUCAGCAGUGACUUCAAGAAGAUGAGGGUGGAAGUGUGACAAACAGGUUUUCCAAGCAUAACAGGCUGCUUGGAAGAAAGCAUGGAGAUGCCUGUGAGAGAAUGGUGUUGGCAGAGCAGAGGGGAAGAAGGGAAAGGCAGAAGGAGACCAGCUUAGAGAUAUUUGCAGAGGCUGCAUAAGCCAGAAGAUAGCAAUAAUGAGCAUAGAAGGAAGAGCUCUUCUUGAUAUGUAUUCCAUCGUAGUGAUACCUAAAAAAAUACAAAAUGUGAUGGACUGACAAGUAUACAGUUUGCAGGACCAAAUCAUCACUGAACUCACAUCUAUAUUCUGCAAGCAGCUCGUAAUUCUUUUGAAAUAAGAAAACAAUAGAUGGAAACCUGUAUUUAUUUUAAAAAUUGUUUAAAUCUUAUUUAAAUCUAAUAUUUGAUAAGCACAUAAUUUUGACAAACUUUUUUUUUAAAUAACUUUACAAUCACUUUUUAAAACAGCGUUGUAAUUUAAUAAUAAAAUGUUUGUUUGUUUUUUAAAAACUAUCAACCCUAGAGCAGUGUGGGGAGUGCAGUCAACCAAUGCAGCAGAAGCACAGAGUCUAGGGCAGGAUCCUCAUUGAAGUCAAAGGAGCUACUUCAGUGGAGUUACACUAAUUUAUACCAACUGAGGAUCUGGCCUCUGUUCUCCAGCCAUGGCAGAUUAAAACCACUUCCAGUUAAGGAUACCACUUGUCCAGUUGCUACCUGAGGAAUUCAAUCUCUUGUUUUUUGAAAUCCCGCACUGAGCACUGGCACUUCUUGUUGAUACUGGGGUGGUGUGGAACCACUGUUCCCACUGCUGUCAUGCCACUGUACAGCUUCUGAAGUGCUAUUUCCUCACUGGCUUUUUGCCUGAUACAUAUUGGACAGUAAACAAUACUUAGUGGGCCCAAUUCUGAGCAUAAAAACAACGAGGAGUCUGGUGGCACCUUAAAGACUAACAGAUUUAUUUGGGCAUAAGCUUUCGUGGGUAAAAAACCCUCUUCUUCAGAUGCAUGGAGUGAAAAUUACAGAUGCAGGCAUUGUUAGUGUUUGUUCAUGGCCAGUUUGUUCUAAUGCCAACAUUGUCCUUUAGCUUAAAUAGCUUUUCACCCUCCCUAAUAUUUAAUCCCCAGAUGUAUUUAUAGAGAGCAAUCAUAUCUUCUCUCAGCCUUCUUUUUGCUAAACAAGCUGAGCUCAUCCAGUCUACUCUCAUAAAAUAGAUCCUCCAUUCCCCUAUCAUCCUAGUAGCUCUUCUCUGCACCUGUUCCAGAUUAAAUUAAUCUUUCUUGGACAUGAGUGACCAGAAUUGUACACAAUAUUCCAAGUGAGGUCUUACCAGCACCUUGUGCAAUGGCAUUAAUACUUCUCUAUCUCUACUGGAAAGGCCUUGCCUAAUUCAUCCUAGGAUCAUAUUUUCCAUUUGCCUUUUUUACAGCUGCAUGACAUUGGUGGCUCAUUGUCAUCCUGUGGUCAACCCACAGACCCAGGUCUUUCUCUUCCUCUGUUGAUUCCAACUAAAAGCUCCCAUCUUAUAGCAGAAAUUCUUAUUAUUAAACCUUAAGUGUAUGCACUUGGUACUAUUGAAUUUCAUCCCAUUUCUGUUAUUUGAGUCUUCAAGAUCAUCUAGAUUUUCCUGUAUGUUCCAAUCCUCCUGUGUAUUGAUGCUGCCUCCCAACUUAGUAUAAUCAGCAAAUUUCACUAGCACACUCCUACUUUUCGUAUUUAAUAAAAAUAUUGGAUAAGAUUGGUUCCAAGACUGAUCCUUGAGGAACUCCAUGAGUAAUUUCCCUCCAGUCCAAUAAUUCACCUUUCAGCACAACGCAAUGCCAUCUCCAGUUUAGCCAAUUCCUUAUCCACCUUACUAUGUUUGUACUGAGCCGCAUCAUCCCUAAUUUAACUAAUAAUUUAGACCUGCUGCAUUUUUCCUCCCCCCCCCCCCUUAAAAAAUACAUUAUUUUCUCAAAGAAGGAAAUCAGGUUACUCUGGCAUGAUCUUUCUUUGAUAAAUCCAUGUUGCAUUGUACUCCCUUUACCAUUUACCUCUAUGAAUUUCAUUAUUCUUUCCUUCACAAUUUGUUCUAAAAUCUUGCAUACCAAUAACGUCAGACAAAAAUUGCCCAGAUCACAUUUUUUCUCCUUUAUUAAAAAUAGGUAUGAUGUUAGCUAUUCUCUAGUCAUAUGGUACUACCCCCAAAUAGAUAGAUUUAUUAAAAAUCCUUGGUGCAAUAAUAGUAAUCCUCUGUGCCAGUUCCUUCAAUAUUCUGUGGCAGAAAUUAUCCGGUCCCCCCGAUUUGAGUGCAUGGCAUAAACCCAGUGUAGGCAGUUUGUGUACCAGCCACCCCUAAUCCCAGGUAUGGGGAUGUGUCAGACUGGGUGUGUAGGUGUAUUUCAGAGCUUCACUGAGCUGAUCCUAUGCUGGUGUAAAGGACCUAGUUUUCUCUAGCAUCAACCAUGUGUAUCAGUCAAAAAUCUAAUGUGAGAAUGGCACCGCAAUAAUUGAAAGUGAUGGGGCCAGGCUGAUGCAGAAGAUUUGUGAGAAGAUCAAAGUAAACAUAUGCAACUCUCAGAAUCAGUAUUUUAAUUGCAGUCCUUUCAUCUUCAUUAAGCAAAACGCUCAUGCAAUUGGCAUACGUGAAGGCCUUAAAAAUCUUUUUUUUCUUCUGUUCAGCGGUUAUGAAUUUGGACAUUAAAUCAAUGGAUUAAAAGUCAAUGGGACUCAAUUCUCUCCAUGCUCUGUACGGGUGUGUGGCAGGGGGAAAUCCAUCAGGGAGCCAGUAACACAGUG
This is a long non-coding RNA of Chrysemys picta bellii (western painted turtle), 3273 nucleotides long. RefSeq lists it as uncharacterized. Lineage: Eukaryota; Metazoa; Chordata; Testudines; Emydidae. The record is from RefSeq and is a predicted model, not a curated record.